RNAcentral lists this ribosomal RNA (789 nucleotides) under Triticum aestivum (bread wheat). RNAcentral's name for it is "partial small subunit ribosomal RNA". The record is from RNAcentral. Lineage: Eukaryota; Viridiplantae; Streptophyta; Magnoliopsida; Poales; Poaceae.
AUGGUCGUCGGGGUCUUGGCGGGUUCCAGAACAAUAGGGGAAUGGAGGGAGACGAAGCCGGAGCGGGUGGUCAAUGCCCAUGGCGAUUCAGGGUGUGGUGCGGGGCUGCAGGCCGACACUACUGGCGAUCUGGGGACACCAGGACCCGAAGCAGAGGAGCAGGGGAGGAGCUGGGAAGCAGCGGCUGCAGCAGGAGCUUGGGGCCAUGGCUGCAUGACAGGAGAGGAGGAGGGCGCGACGAAGGGACGGCACGACUCGGUUGGCCGAGGAGGUCGACAACGGCCAUGCUUUAGCGGCCUCGGUCGCUGGCAGCAGAGGUGCGAGGCAAUCUGCAGCCUCGUGGUGGUCACGGACGGCGGCAAUGCUGGAGACAGAAGGAAUGGCGCGAAGGACGGGCGGCUUGGGCGGCAGGAUGUGCAGAAGGGAGCAGGAAGCAGAGGCCGACGGGCAGCGGGGAUGGCCAACAGGGACGAACCCCAAGGGCGGCGGUGCUGCAAUCCUCCAUGGCCUCAACGUGGUUCCUGUUCAUUUGGUCGCUGGUCGUCGGCGCGUGGAGGAGCAAGGGCGAGGCAGAGGGGUUCCUCUGGAGGUGCGAGGUGGAGGAAAGGAGGAGUGGGGAUCGGGCAGCGCGCGCAUGGUGGUGGUGUUGGACGCGGGCCUGCUCGAAGGAACGAGGGGAGGGGAUCGAUGGAGGGAGAAGCGGCAGACAGAGGGAGAGAUGGGAUCGAGCUCCUGGCGGCGCUACAGGAUCGAGCAGCGGAGCAAGAGGGGGGGUUUCGAUCGGGCUAG